UCUGUGGUAUAUGGAAGUUCCCAGGCUAGGGACUGAAUCCGAGCCACAGCUGGGACCUACACUACUUCCGGCCCCCAGAACUGUGAGCGGUGGAUUUCUGUUACUGCCAAGCCGUCCAGGCCCUGGUAGGUGGGUUCAGCAGCUUGAAUGGAUUAACAUCACCCUCUACACCUGCCUUUAAAAAAGCGCCUUCCUGAAGCGGACACCUGUCAUUUGUGUAUGUCCCAAACCUCUGACUGUACUCUCCACACAGUUAACGUCUUAUAGGAUAAUUUCCUUCUUUCCAACAGAGAAUGAGCCAAUGAAACCAAACCCUCCUGGUCUGGCCUCUGUGCUGCUGUGAUGCAGUUGUGUGACUUAGGUUCUGCCAGGCAGAAGGGCUCCCUCGAGGCUUUGCUGGGAGCUAGUGGUGUGGCUCUGAGCAGCACCAGGGGAGGGGCCCCCAACUCACCAGCCUCCGGACCCUUGAUUGGCUGACUCUGCUGUGUCGUUCUGGGAAUCACCUGGGAAGCUCCACCCACUUCUUGAUCCAUCCCAGGAUUCUGAGAACGCUUCGUCAAAAUCCCUUCCUGCCUCACCAGCUAGCGGCCAUUCGUAUGCAUCCCCCUGAUCAGCACAUCUCCUGUCACCCACAACAGGGGAAAGUGAAGGACAAUCUCUCUUGUUCUCUCAUGCCGCCUGUUGGACAGUCUUACUCAAUUAACCCGCACUAUAGGCCUUGCAGCUCUGGGUCUCGUAGCUGUUCGUCUCUCGUCCUUCAUAGAUUUGUGUGCCUGUGCCCUCCUCACAAACCUCUCUCCAGUGUUCCUUCUCAUCCCGUGAUGGGUCAUUUUGACAGCGCUUGGCAUUCCCGGCCCCACCAUUUUCAGACGUAACCAUUCUGCAGUGAUCAGCCCAGGUGAGCUGCCACUGUGCAGAAGCACGGAUCUGAAUCACUAACACACCACGGCUGAUGAGUUGCCUUGGUUUUUCUCUUCCUUCCACCCACAACACCCAUCAGUGCUCACAUGGGCCGAACCCAGCAGGGGGCCAGAUAGCAAAGGGGGCCGGAGGAAAAGUGGCUGGUGGGGCCAGUCCAGUUGCAGCACAGAGUCUGGAAAAAGCAAAACCAGACCUGGGUCUGUGGAGAUGACAGCUGCACAGAAGCUCACAGGAGGCAGCAGGACAACCGGGAAUGGGCUCAACUAGAACAUGAUGCAGGGAGGACGCCACGCCGUGUUCAUAAGAUACAGAGUUUGGUUGGUUUGGUUUGGAGUGUCAGUGAGCUGUCUCUCUAAGUCAGAAACCAAUACAUCUCUGCAUCUACACAUGAGUUUUCAUGUUGGAAAAUAAUGGCAGAGUUCCCGUCGUGGCUUAGCAAUUAACAAAUCCCACUAGCAUCCAUGAGGACUCAGGUUCAAUCCCUCACCUUGCUCAGUGGAUUAAGGGUCUGGCGUUGCCUGGAGCUGCGAUGUAGGUUGCAGACGCAGCUCGGAUCUGGUGUUGCUGUGGCUGUGGCACAGGCUGGCGGCUACAGCUCUGAUUGGACCCCUAGCCUGGGAACUUCCAUAUGCCUUGGGUGUGGCCCUAAAAAAGGCAAAAAAAGGGAAAGAAAAGAAUGGAGAUGCAUAGAGAAAAGUGCUCCUGUAAUCCAGGACGCCACGGCCACUGCCAAACACAGGAAAUGCAUGAUCAUUCCUGGCACAGAAAUCAGGAAGAAACAUCAAAGACAAAACUGGCGGGGAGGGAGGUUUCAAAUGUGCACACUCAUCUCCUAGCAUCAUUGUGAUAAAAAUGGUCCAUGACACACCCCUGACUGAACCUGCUGACAGAUCCAGGUCUCGGAAGAUUGAGAAAGCAGCGGGAGGGGCUGCUGUUCUCGACUGACUUCCAAUUAAGAAGGAGGAAGUGAUGGGAGAAGUGGAAGUGAUAGACACAGUGAGAGAAGAUGCGCACGUCAUCCUUGUGUCCACGACGGCCAGGAGAAAGAAACCCAGUCUGGUGAGAAUCUCGUAGUUCAAAGCAGAGAUUUCCAAGAAUUGAAAGGUGAGCUGGAAUCUAAAAAAACCAUCCUCCUUCUCAAUUCUUGAAAAUGGGGUUCUGACCACACAGAUGAGUAAUUGAUGAAGAGGUAAGAGAACCACAACACAGACAACGAUGUAGUGAAGUCACAGCUAAAAAGGACCACGGUCCCAGGAAGGCUUCCAGAGACAGAGGUGAAUUCCAAACUGUGAGACAGAGCUAAAUGUUCAUGUCCACAAGCCUAACACCCAGGAAAGGGUGUCUUGCAAACAAAGCUAAAGAAAACCAUAGAGGAACUUUUUUUAAAAAUUAAUUAAUUAAUUUAUUUAUUUAUUUAGUCUUUUUGCCAUUUCUUGGACCCCUCCCGCGGCAUACAGAGAUUCCCAGGCUAGGGGUCGAAUCGGAGCUGUAGCCGCCGGCCUAUGCCAGAGCCAUAGCAACGCGGGAUCCGAGCCAUGGUUGCGACCUACACCACAGCUCACAGCAACGCCCGAUCCUUAACCCACUGAGCAAGGCCAGGGAUCGAACCCGCAACCUCAUGGUUCCUAGUUGGAUUCGUUAACCACUGCACCACGAUGGGAACUACCAAGGAAGUUUUGAAAUGUGUUUCUGGAACAAGAUAAGGUUGACUGGCAGGAGAAUAAAAGAAAAGCAAACCUACUCAACUCCUGUCCAUUGGUAUGUUUAACACCCCUGUCAGGAGCAAAUAAAGAAAGAAGUAAGACUUUAUAGCUGGGGAAGAGGAGGCCAGAAUUAAUAAACCGAACUGGAUCCUCAAGUCCACAGCACAGUUGUAAGAGGGUACCUGGGUAUUCCAUGGGCAUUUCCAUUAUCCAACCUGGAGGGGUCACAUGCACUGUUGGUGGGAAUGUAUAUUGGUACAACCGCUAUGGAAAACAGCUUGGAGGUGCCUCAGAGAACUAAAUAUAGAACUGCCAUAUGAUCCAGCAAUCCCAAUCCUGGGCCUAUAUCUGGACAGUAAUUAAAAAGAUGCACGCACCCCUUAUGUUCAUUGAAGCACUAUUCACAAUAGCUAAGACAUGGAAGCAAUCUGAAUGUCCAUCAACAGAUCAAUGGAUUAAGAAGAUGUGGUACAUAUACAAAAUGGAAUAUGACUCAGCCAUGAAAAAGAAUGAAAUAAUGCCAUUUGCAACAACACGGAUGCAACUAGAGAUUCUCAUGCUAAGUGAAGUCAGUCAGAAAGAGAAAGACAAAUACCAGAGGAUUCCACUCGUAUGUGGAAUCUAAAAUAUGGCACAAAUGAUCCUAUUUACGAAACAGAAACAGACUCAGAGACAUGGAGAACAGACUUGUGGUUGCCAAGAGGAGGGCAGAGAGAGUGAGAUGGACAGGGAGUUUGGGGUUGGUAGAUGCAAACUAUUACAUUUAGAAUGAAUAAGCAAUGAGGUCCUGCUAUACAGCACAGGAAACUAUAUCCAGUCUCUUGAGAUAAACUGUGAUGGAAGGUAAUAUAUGAAAAAGAAUGUGUAUAUAUAUGUGUGUGUGUGUGUAUAUAUGACAGGGUCACUUUACAGCAGAAAUUGGCACAACAUUGUAAAUAAACUAUACCUUAAUAAAAAAUUUAAAAAAUUAAAAAGAAAACAAAAUGCAUGAGAUGAAUGGCAGGUUUUUUUUUUUUUUUUUUUUUUUUCCCCUUUUCUAGGGCCGCUCCUGCGGCAUAUGGAGGUUCCCAGGCUAGGGGUCGAAUCGGAGCUGUAGCCACCGGCCUACACCAGAGCCACAGCAACUUGGGAUCCGAGCCAUGGCUGCGACCUACACCACAGCUCACGGCAACGCCGGAUCCUUAACCCACUGAGCAAGGCCAGGGAUUGAACCCGCAACUCAUGGUUCCUAGUCGGAUUCAUUAACCACUGC
Molecule: long non-coding RNA, 3876 nt
Filed under: Sus scrofa (pig)
Lineage: Eukaryota; Metazoa; Chordata; Mammalia; Artiodactyla; Suidae
Description: lncRNA (ENSSSCG00055016697.1)
Source: RNAcentral